UACAGAGGUCCCAAGCGUUGUUCGGAUUCACUGGGCGUAAAGGGUGCGCAGGUGGGUUGGCAAGUUCGAUGUGAAAGCCCCGGGCUUAACCCGGGAAUGGCAUUGGAUACUGUUGAUCUGGAGGGUCGGAGGGGGGACUGGAAUUCUUGGUGUAGCAGUGAAAUGCGUAGAUAUCAAGAGGAACACCAGUGGCGAAGGCGAGUCCCUGGACGAUACCUGACACUGAGGCACGAAAGCCAAGGGAGCAAACAGG
Molecule: ribosomal RNA, 253 nt
Filed under: uncultured bacterium
Lineage: Bacteria
Description: partial 16S ribosomal RNA
Rfam family: Bacterial small subunit ribosomal RNA
Source: RNAcentral